UACAGAGGUGGCAAGCGUUGUUCGGAAUUACUGGGCGUAAAGGGCGCGUAGGCGGUUCGAUAAGUCCCGUGUGAAAGCCCCCGGCUCAACUGGGGAACUGCACGGGAAACUGACGGACUUGAGUUCGGGAGAGGGAAGCGGAAUUCCGGGUGUAGCGGUGAAAUGCGUAGAUAUCCGGAGGAACACCGGUGGCGAAGGCGGCUGCCUGGACCGACACUGACGCUGAGGCGCGAAAGCUAGGGGAGCAAACGGG
This 253-nucleotide ribosomal RNA is filed under the name uncultured bacterium. RNAcentral describes it as "partial 16S ribosomal RNA". It matches the Rfam family "Bacterial small subunit ribosomal RNA", at positions 524 to 776 of the family's 1533-position model. The record is from RNAcentral.